Molecule: ribosomal RNA, 1462 nt
Filed under: Staphylococcus saprophyticus
Lineage: Bacteria; Bacillati; Bacillota; Bacilli; Caryophanales; Staphylococcaceae
Description: bacterial SSU rRNA
Rfam family: Bacterial small subunit ribosomal RNA
Source: RNAcentral
UGAACGCUGGCGGCGUGCCUAAUACAUGCAAGUCGAGCGAACAGAUAAGGAGCUUGCUCCUUUGACGUUAGCGGCGGACGGGUGAGUAACACGUGGGUAACCUACCUAUAAGACUGGGAUAACUUCGGGAAACCGGAGCUAAUACCGGAUAACAUUUGGAACCGCAUGGUUCUAAAGUGAAAGAUGGUUUUGCUAUCACUUAUAGAUGGACCCGCGCCGUAUUAGCUAGUUGGUAAGGUAACGGCUUACCAAGGCGACGAUACGUAGCCGACCUGAGAGGGUGAUCGGCCACACUGGAACUGAGACACGGUCCAGACUCCUACGGGAGGCAGCAGUAGGGAAUCUUCCGCAAUGGGCGAAAGCCUGACGGAGCAACGCCGCGUGAGUGAUGAAGGGUUUCGGCUCGUAAAACUCUGUUAUUAGGGAAGAACAAACGUGUAAGUAACUGUGCACGUCUUGACGGUACCUAAUCAGAAAGCCACGGCUAACUACGUGCCAGCAGCCGCGGUAAUACGUAGGUGGCAAGCGUUAUCCGGAAUUAUUGGGCGUAAAGCGCGCGUAGGCGGUUUCUUAAGUCUGAUGUGAAAGCCCACGGCUCAACCGUGGAGGGUCAUUGGAAACUGGGAAACUUGAGUGCAGAAGAGGAAAGUGGAAUUCCAUGUGUAGCGGUGAAAUGCGCAGAGAUAUGGAGGAACACCAGUGGCGAAGGCGACUUUCUGGUCUGUAACUGACGCUGAUGUGCGAAAGCGUGGGGAUCAAACAGGAUUAGAUACCCUGGUAGUCCACGCCGUAAACGAUGAGUGCUAAGUGUUAGGGGGUUUCCGCCCCUUAGUGCUGCAGCUAACGCAUUAAGCACUCCGCCUGGGGAGUACGACCGCAAGGUUGAAACUCAAAGGAAUUGACGGGGACCCGCACAAGCGGUGGAGCAUGUGGUUUAAUUCGAAGCAACGCGAAGAACCUUACCAAAUCUUGACAUCCUUUGAAAACUCUAGAGAUAGAGCCUUCCCCUUCGGGGGACAAAGUGACAGGUGGUGCAUGGUUGUCGUCAGCUCGUGUCGUGAGAUGUUGGGUUAAGUCCCGCAACGAGCGCAACCCUUAAGCUUAGUUGCCAUCAUUAAGUUGGGCACUCUAGGUUGACUGCCGGUGACAAACCGGAGGAAGGUGGGGAUGACGUCAAAUCAUCAUGCCCCUUAUGAUUUGGGCUACACACGUGCUACAAUGGACAAUACAAAGGGCAGCUAAACCGCGAGGUCAUGCAAAUCCCAUAAAGUUGUUCUCAGUUCGGAUUGUAGUCUGCAACUCGACUACAUGAAGCUGGAAUCGCUAGUAAUCGUAGAUCAGCAUGCUACGGUGAAUACGUUCCCGGGUCUUGUACACACCGCCCGUCACACCACGAGAGUUUGUAACACCCGAAGCCGGUGGAGUAACCAUUUAUGGAGCUAGCCGUCGAAGGUGGGACAAA